Molecule: ribosomal RNA, 485 nt
Filed under: uncultured bacterium
Lineage: Bacteria
Description: partial 16S ribosomal RNA
Rfam family: Bacterial small subunit ribosomal RNA
Source: RNAcentral
AUGAACGCUGGCGGCGUGCCUAAUACAUGCAAGUCGAACGCUGGAGAUCUAGCUUGCUAGAUCGAAGGAGUGGCGAACGGGUGAGUAAUACAUAAGCAACCUACCCACGAAGACUGGGAUAAUCUCUGGAAACGGGGACUAAUACCGGAUAGGUAAUCGGAAGGCAUCUUCUGGUUAUUAAAGGUUAAAAACACUGGUGGAUGGGCUUAUGGCGCAUUAGUUAGUUGGUGAGGUAACGGCCCACCAAGGCGAUGAUGCGUAGCCGGCCUGAGAGGGUGAAAGGCCACAUUGGGACUGAGACACGGCCCAGACUCCUACGGGAGGCAGCAGUAGGGAAUUUUCGGCAAUGGGGGCAACCCUGACCGAGCAACGCCGCGUGAGUGAAGACGGCCUUCGGGUUGUAAAGCUCUGUUGUAAGGGAAGAACGGUAGAUAGAGAAUAUCUAAGUGACGGUACCUUACCAGAAAGCCACGGCUAACUACGUG